AUUAUUUUGGCAGAUUAGUGCGUUAAAUUUAGAAUUUAAAUAUAUAAUUAUUAACUUAUAAAUAAUA
Molecule: transfer RNA, 67 nt
Filed under: Megachile strupigera
Lineage: Eukaryota; Metazoa; Arthropoda; Insecta; Hymenoptera; Megachilidae
Description: tRNA-Leu
Source: RNAcentral